GGGGCUGACUUGGAUUUCGACAGAUUUCUUGUCGCACAGAUAGCAUGCCAAGUGCUACUUGUAAAACAGCAACAAAAAUAACUGUAAACAACACAGAUUACGCUCCAGCUUACGCUAAAGUUGCGUGAGUUAAUCUCCUUUUGGAGCUGGACUGAUUAGAAUUUCUAGCGUUUUAAUCACUCCAUAACCUUAAGCUAGACGCUUUUAAAAGGUGGUUCGCCUUUUAAACUAAGAAACAAGAACUCUUGAAACUACCUCAAGGUUUUAGAAAGUUGGACCAGAGCUAGUUUUAAGGCUAAAAAGCUAACCAAUUUUCUAAGCAUUGUAGAAGUUUGUGUUUAGGACAAGAUUUUUGGACUGGGGUUCGAUUCCCCACAGCUCCACCA
RNAcentral lists this transfer-messenger RNA (386 nucleotides) under Helicobacter pylori. It matches the Rfam family "transfer-messenger RNA". From Rfam's summary of the family: Bacterial tmRNA, also known as 10Sa RNA or SsrA, is named for its dual tRNA and mRNA-like properties. Its role is to liberate the mRNA from a stalled ribosome. The record is from RNAcentral. RNAcentral also lists the same sequence under 1 other name. Lineage: Bacteria; Pseudomonadati; Campylobacterota; Epsilonproteobacteria; Campylobacterales; Helicobacteraceae.